Daphnia magna is the source of this 1331-nucleotide long non-coding RNA. RefSeq lists it as uncharacterized. The transcript has 3 exons. NCBI's taxonomy places the organism in Eukaryota, Metazoa, Arthropoda, Branchiopoda, Diplostraca, Daphniidae. The record is from RefSeq and is a predicted model, not a curated record.
GUCAACGUAGAAGUGCAACGUCUGAAGUGCGCCACCGCCCAUCCAUGUGAACGAAGCAUCGAUUACCACGAACUAUCUUCUGAUAGUGUUCCUUUUUUAAAAAAUCUUAUAUUGCUUUAUUAUAUAUAUAUUUUUGAAUUUCUUGGCCCUGACACUCUCCAACCAACAAAGAAACUGCAUUUUUCAAGUUAUUUUUACCAAUUUUUACAUACUCGUACAUUUCGUUUAUCAUAGAAAACAUCUUGCCAUUCAUACGAAUGCCUUUGUCUGAUCUGAUCGUGUCAACAUGCUAAUCCGUUCUUUUCGCUGGCCGAAGCCCCGUGUCAAAUUUUGCAUCUUUCCAUUGAUACGUAUCUAAUAGAAGCAUUCUGGCAUGUGUCAGGCAACAAGUUACAUGAAUGGCAUGGUUCCCUUUGGGUGCCAAGCCUGGCCUACACCCUCCGUAAUUGAAACUGUUUGCUGGUGUGAUAGGUUUGGUAUUAUGAAAGAUUUUGUUCAUUUGUUUGUUUUUGUGCUUAGGUCUUGGAUCAAGUAAUUACAUGGACGUGGAGUGGCUAUAUGGGACUUAAUUUCUCUUCUGUUGGUUGAGUUGGAGAAACAGGGAUUGGUAAGAAUGGGAAGAAAGCAUAAUUAACACCUCAACUUUUGUUAUUUUGUCUAUUUGGCAGGACCAACAAUUUUAUUUCCACUCUCAUCAUUAGAAUUCUGGUAUGGUAGCUGUUGUUGCAGGACACUCCUUGGUUUGUUAGUUAGGAGACAGCAUACCAAGAUCAAGUCCAAGAGAUCUAAUUUACAGGCCGGCAACACAAUAUAGAUUGUUCAACUUUGUUUUCUUGCCUUGGUGGUGUAAUUGAAUUAUAUUUAAAUUCAAAAUUUUUUGAAGCUAUUUACCUACUAGUGAGAAAGGCAUGUGUGAAAAGUUGCUGAAAUGUGUGAACAGAGCAAUAUGCAUGUUCCCCUUUGGGUGCCAAGCCUGGCCUACACCCUUUGUAAUUGAAACUGUUUGCUGUUGUGAUAGGGUGUUGGAUCAAGUAAUAACAUGGAGGUGGAGUGGCAAUAUGGGACUUAAUUUCUCUUCUGUUGGUCUAGGUGGAGAAACAGGGAUUGGCAGGACCAACAAUUUUAUUUCCACUCUCAUCUUUAGAAUUCUUGUAUGGUAGCUGUUGCUGCAGGACACUCUCCUUGGUUUGUUACUUAGGAGACAGCAUACCAAGAGCAAGUCCAAGAGAUCUAAUUUACAGGCCGGCAACACAAUAUAGAUUGUUUAACUUUGUUUUCUUGCCUUGGUGGUGUAAUUGAAUUAUAUUGGAAUUUAAAAGUUUUUGAAGCUA